GCGAGGUGGUGCUAAUCCUAGAAAAUUCUUCGUAGUCCGGAUUGGAGUCUGCAACUCGACUCCAUGAAGUCGGAAUCGCUAGUAAUCGCGAAUCAGCAUGUCGCGGUGAAUACGUUCUCGGGUCUUGUCACACCGCCCGUCAUACCAUGGAAGUGGAUUGCACCAGAAGUAGAUAGUCUAACCUUCGGGAGGGCGUUUACCACGGUGUGCUUCAUGACUGGGGUAAAGUCGUAACAAGGUAGCCGUAGGGGAACCUGUGGCUGGAUCACCCUCCUU
RNAcentral lists this ribosomal RNA (276 nucleotides) under uncultured bacterium. RNAcentral's name for it is "partial 16S ribosomal RNA". It matches the Rfam family "Bacterial small subunit ribosomal RNA", at positions 1257 to 1533 of the family's 1533-position model. The record is from RNAcentral.